This 378-nucleotide ribosomal RNA is filed under the name uncultured archaeon. Its description in RNAcentral is "bacterial SSU rRNA". It matches the Rfam family "Archaeal small subunit ribosomal RNA", at positions 470 to 849 of the family's 1478-position model. The record is from RNAcentral.
GUAACACCGGCGGCCCGAGUGGUAGCCGUUUUUAUUGGGUCUAAAGGGUCCGUAGCCGGCCUGAUAAGUCCUUUGGGAAAUCUGGCAGCUUAACUGUCAGGCUUCUAAGGGAUACUGUCAGGCUUGGGACCGGAAGAGGUAAGGGGUACUCCAGGGGUAGGAGUGAAAUCUUGUAAUACCCUGGGGGACCAUCUGUGGCGAAGGCGCCUUACCAGAACGGGUCCGACGGUGAGGGACGAAAGCUAGGGGAGCAAACCGGAUUAGAUACCCGGGUAGUCCUAGCUGUAAACGAUGCUCGCUAGGUGUCAGACACGGUGCGACCGUGUUUGGUGCCGCAGGAAGCCGUUAAGCGAGCCACCUGGAAGUACGUCGCAAGGC